Molecule: ribosomal RNA, 378 nt
Filed under: Triticum aestivum (bread wheat)
Lineage: Eukaryota; Viridiplantae; Streptophyta; Magnoliopsida; Poales; Poaceae
Description: partial small subunit ribosomal RNA
Source: RNAcentral
UUUUGGUGCAGUAAAGUGGGGCAACAAAAACCACACUGAGGUUCUUCGAGAGAUAUGACUCAACCGAAGAAGUGUGGCGGCUUGGGUUUCUAGGACAUCGAAUUGUUCAACAUAGCUUUGUUACCUUGGCACUUAUGGUGCCUCAUAACAGUAGCUGACUCUCUUUGUGCCUGUCACCUUAAAUCUCUCUAUUACCCAGACAAUGAUAUUCUUAAUGCCGAGCUGAGAUCACAUCCGUCUCAAGUAUGGAGAUCAAUCUUGAAGGGAAGAGACGCACUCUCACAUGGCAUCAUCAGGCGCAUUGGGACCGGUGCAAAUACACGAGUUUGGGCUGAGAAUUGGAUCCUGAGAGACUCGUCGAUGAGGUCGGUAGCUUAG